CCUACGGGAGGCAGCAGUGGGGAAUAUUGGGCAAUGGAGGAAACUCUGACCCAGCGACGCCGCGUGCGGGAUGAAGGCCUUCGGGUUGUAAACCGCUUUCAGUAGGGAAGAAGCGAAAGUGACGGUACCUACAGAAGAAGCACCGGCUAACUAUGUGCCAGCAGCCGCGGUAAUACAUAGGGUGCAAGCGUUGUCCGGAAUUAUUGGGCGUAAAGAGCUCGUAGGUGGUUCGUCACGUCGGAUGUGAAAAUCUGGGGCUCAACCCCAGACCUGCAUUCGAUACGGGCGAUCUAGAGUGUGGUAGGGGAGACUGGAAUUCCUGGUGUAGCGGUGGAAUGCGCAGAUAUCAGGAGGAACACCAAUGGCGAAGGCAGGUCUCUGGGCCAUUACUGACACUGAGGAGCGAAAGCGUGGGGAGCGAACAGGAUUAGAUACCCUGGUAGUCCACGCCGUAAACGGUGGGCACUAGUUGUGGGAACCUUCCACGGUUUCUGCGACGCAGCUAACGCAUUAAGUGCCCCGCCGGGGGAGUACGAUCGCAAGAUUAAAACUCAAAUGAAUUGACGG
Molecule: ribosomal RNA, 567 nt
Filed under: uncultured bacterium
Lineage: Bacteria
Description: bacterial SSU rRNA
Rfam family: Bacterial small subunit ribosomal RNA
Source: RNAcentral